Molecule: ribosomal RNA, 497 nt
Filed under: uncultured bacterium
Lineage: Bacteria
Description: partial 16S ribosomal RNA
Rfam family: Bacterial small subunit ribosomal RNA
Source: RNAcentral
GACGAACGCUGGCGGCGUGCCUAAUACAUGCAAGUAGAACGCUGAAGAGAGGAGCUUGCUCUUCUUGGAUGAGUUGCGAACGGGUGAGUAACGCGUAGGUAACCUGCCUGGUAGCGGGGGAUAACUAUUGGAAACGAUAGCUAAUACCGCAUAAAAUGGAUUAUCGCAUGAUAAUCCAUUGAAAGGUGCAAAUGCAUCACUACCAGAUGGACCUGCGUUGUAUUAGCUAGUUGGUGGGGUAACGGCUCACCAAGGCGACGAUACAUAGCCGACCUGAGAGGGUGAUCGGCCACACUGGGACUGAGACACGGCCCAGACUCCUACGGGAGGCAGCAGUAGGGAAUCUUCGGCAAUGGACAGAAGUCUGACCGAGCAACGCCGCGUGAGUGAAGAAGGUUUUCGGAUCGUAAAGCUCUGUUGUAAGAGAAGAACGAGUGUGAGAGUGGAAAGUUCACACUGUGACGGUAUCUUACCAGAAAGGGACGGCUAACUACGUG